This 1374-nucleotide ribosomal RNA is filed under the name uncultured bacterium. RNAcentral's name for it is "bacterial SSU rRNA". It matches the Rfam family "Bacterial small subunit ribosomal RNA", at positions 28 to 1381 of the family's 1533-position model. The record is from RNAcentral.
GAUGAACGCUGGCGGCGUGCCUAAUACAUGCAAGUCGAGCGAACAGAUAAGGAGCUUGCUCCUUUGACGUUAGCGGCGGACGGGUGAGUAACACGUGGAUAACCUACCUAUAAGACUGGGAUAACUUCGGGAAACCGGAGCUAAUACCGGAUAACAUAUUGAACCGCAUGGUUCAAUAGUGAAAGGCGGCUUUGCUGUCACUUAUAGAUGGAUCCGCGCCGUAUUAGCUAGUUGGUAAGGUAACGGCUUACCAAGGCAACGAUACGUAGCCGACCUGAGAGGGUGAUCGGCCACACUGGAACUGAGACACGGUCCAGACUCCUACGGGAGGCAGCAGUAGGGAAUCUUCCGCAAUGGGCGAAAGCCUGACGGAGCAACGCCGCGUGAGUGAUGAAGGUCUUCGGAUCGUAAAACUCUGUUAUCAGGGAAGAACAAAUGUGUAAGUAACUGUGCACAUCUUGACGGUACCUGAUCAGAAAGCCACGGCUAACUACGUGCCAGCAGCCGCGGUAAUACGUAGGUGGCAAGCGUUAUCCGGAAUUAUUGGGCGUAAAGCGCGCGUAGGCGGUUUUUUAAGUCUGAUGUGAAAGCCCACGGCUCAACCGUGGAGGGUCAUUGGAAACUGGAAAACUUGAGUGCAGAAGAGGGAAAGUGGAAUUCCAUGUGUAGCGGUGAAAUGCGCAGAGAUAUGGAGGAACACCAGUGGCGAGGGCGACUUUCUGGUCUGUAACUGACGCUGAUGUGCGAAAGCGUGGGGAUCAAACAGGAUUAGAUACCCUGGUAGUCCACGCCGUAAACGAUGAGUGCUAAGUGUUAGGGGGUUUCCCGCUCUUUAGUGCUGCAGCUAACGCAUUAAGCACUCCCCCCUGGGGAGUACGACCGCAGGUUGAAACUCAAAGGAAUUGACGGGGACCCGCACAAGCGGUGGAGCAUGUGGUUUAAUUCGAAGCAACGCGAAGAACCUUACCAAAUCUUGACAUCCUUUGACCACUCUAGAGAUAGAGUUUUCCCCUUCGGGGGACAAAGUGACAGGUGGUGCAUGGUUGUCGUCAGCUCGUGUCGUGAGAUGUUGGGUUAAGUCCCGCAACGAGCGCAACCCUUAAGCUUAGUUGCCAUCAUUAAGUUGGGCACUCUAAGUUGACUGCCGGUGACAAACCGGAGGAAGGUGGGGAUGACGUCAAAUCAUCAUGCCCCUUAUGAUUUGGGCUACACACGUGCUACAAUGGACAAUACAAAGGGCAGCUAAACCGCGAGGUCAAGCAAAUCCCAUAAAGUUGUUCUCAGUUCGGAUUGUAGUCUGCAACUCGACUACAUGAAGCUGGAAUCGCUAGUAAUCGUAGAUCAGCAUGCUACGGUGAAUACGUUCCCGGGUCU